Molecule: ribosomal RNA, 634 nt
Filed under: uncultured bacterium
Lineage: Bacteria
Description: bacterial SSU rRNA
Rfam family: Bacterial small subunit ribosomal RNA
Source: RNAcentral
AGAGUUUGAUCAUGGCUCAGGACGAACGCUGGCGGCGUGCCUAAUACAUGCAAGUCGAACGAACUCUGGUAUUGAUUGGUGCUUGCAUCAUGAUUUACAUUUGAGUGAGUGGCGAACUGGUGAGUAACACGUGGGAAACCUGCCCAGAAGCGGGGGAUAACACCUGGAAACAGAUGCUAAUACCGCAUAACAACUUGGACCGCAUGAUCUGAGCUUGAAAGAUGGCUUCGGCUAUCACUUUUGGAUGGUCCCGCGGCGUAUUAGCUAGAUGGUGGGGUAACGGCUCACCAUGGCAAUGAUACGUAGCCGACCUGAGAGGGUAAUCGGCCACAUUGGGACUGAGACACGGCCCAAACUCCUACGGGAGGCAGCAGUAGGGAAUCUUCCACAAUGGACGAAAGUCUGAUGGAGCAACGCCGCGUGAGUGAAGAAGGGUUUCGGCUCGUAAAACUCUGUUGUUAAAGAAGAACAUAUCUGAGAGUAACUGUUCAGGUAUUGACGGUAUUUAACCAGAAAGCCACGGCUAACUACGUGCCAGCAGCCGCGGUAAUACGUAGGUGGCAAGCGUUGUCCGGAUUUAUUGGGCGUAAAGCAAGCGCAGGCGGUUUUUUAAGUCUGAUGUGAAAGCCUUCGG